GCCUCCUUAGCUCAGUUGGUAGAGCGACGCAUUCGUAAUGCGUAGGUCGCAAGUUCAAGUCUUGUAGGAGGCUCCA
Molecule: transfer RNA, 76 nt
Filed under: Persicitalea jodogahamensis
Lineage: Bacteria; Pseudomonadati; Bacteroidota; Cytophagia; Cytophagales; Spirosomataceae
Description: tRNA-Thr
Rfam family: tRNA
About the family: Transfer RNA (tRNA) molecules are approximately 80 nucleotides in length.
Source: RNAcentral